Molecule: transfer RNA, 71 nt
Filed under: bacterium
Lineage: Bacteria
Description: tRNA-Thr
Rfam family: tRNA
About the family: Transfer RNA (tRNA) molecules are approximately 80 nucleotides in length. Their secondary structure includes four short double-helical elements and three loops (D, anti-codon, and T loops). Further hydrogen bonds mediate the characteristic L-shaped molecular structure. tRNAs have two regions of fundamental functional importance: the anti-codon, which is responsible for specific mRNA codon recognition, and the 3' end, to which the tRNAs corresponding amino acid is attached (by aminoacyl-tRNA synthetases). tRNAs cope with the degeneracy of the genetic code in two manners: having more than one tRNA (with a specific anti-codon) for a particular amino acid; and 'wobble' base-pairing, i.e. permitting non-standard base-pairing at the 3rd anti-codon position.
Source: RNAcentral
GCCCCCUUAGCUUAGUGGCAAAGCAAUAGUUUUGUAAACUAUAGACGUCAGUUCGAUUCUGACAGGGGGCU